GAUGAACGCUAGCUACAGGCUUAACACAUGCAAGUCGCGGGACCGGCGCACGGGUGAGUAACGCGUAUCCAACCUGCCCUUCACCACGGGAUAACCCGGCGAAAGUCGGACUAAUACCGUAUGGUGAAGGCUGGGGAUGCGUGGGAUUGGCUUGACGGCGGGGUAACGGCCCACCGUGGCUACGCUCGGUAGGGGUUCUGAGCGGAAGGUCCACAACAAUGGAACGGAGACACGGUCCAGACUCCUACGGGAGGCAGCAGUGAGGAAUAUUGGUCAAGGGGCGUAAGCCUGAACCAGCCAAGUAGCGUGCAGGACGACGGCCUAUGGGGUGUAAACUGCUUUUAUGCGGGGAUAGGUACCGCAUGAAGAAGGACCGGCUAAUUCCGUGCCAGCAGCCGCGGUAAUAC
Molecule: ribosomal RNA, 407 nt
Filed under: uncultured bacterium
Lineage: Bacteria
Description: partial 16S ribosomal RNA
Rfam family: Bacterial small subunit ribosomal RNA
Source: RNAcentral